AUUGAACGCUGGCGGCAGGCCUAACACAUGCAAGUCGAACGAGUGGCGGACGGGUGAGUAAUGUCUGGGAAACUGCCUGAUGGAGGGGGAUAACUACUGGAAACGGUGGCUUAUAACGCAUACUAUCGGAGGUACCCAGAUGGGAUUAGCUAGUAGGUGGGGUAAAGGCUCACCUAGGCGACGCUCCCUAGCUGGUCUGAGAGGAUGCCCAGCCACACUGGAACUGAGACACGGGCCAGACUCCUACGGUAGGCAGCAGUGGGGAAUAUUGCACAAUGGGCGCAAGCCUGAUGCAGCCAUGCCGCGUGUAUGAAGAAGGCCUUCGGGUUGUAAAGUACUUUCAGCGGGGAGGCGUUACCCUCAGAAGAAGCACCGGCUAACUCCGUGCCAGCCGCCGCGGUAAUAC
This 406-nucleotide ribosomal RNA is filed under the name uncultured bacterium. Its description in RNAcentral is "partial 16S ribosomal RNA". It matches the Rfam family "Bacterial small subunit ribosomal RNA", at positions 30 to 526 of the family's 1533-position model. The record is from RNAcentral.